GACGAACGCUGGCGGCGUGCUCAACACAUGCAAGUCGAGCGGUAAGGCCCUUUCGGGGGUACGACGAGCGGCGAACGGGUGAGUAACACGUGGGUGACCUGCCCUCAGCUCUGGGAUAAGCCUGGGAAACUGGGUCUAAUACCGGAUAUGACUCCAUGACGCAUGUUGUGGGGUGGAAAGCCUUGUGCGGCUGAGGAUGGGCCCGCGGCCUAUCAGCUUGUUGGU
RNAcentral lists this ribosomal RNA (225 nucleotides) under uncultured bacterium. RNAcentral describes it as "partial 16S ribosomal RNA". It matches the Rfam family "Bacterial small subunit ribosomal RNA", at positions 28 to 253 of the family's 1533-position model. The record is from RNAcentral.